GGUCCUGUAGCUCAGUGGUUAGAGCGACGGUCUUAUGAGCCGUAGGUCGUGGGUUCAAUCCCCGCCGGGACUA
RNAcentral lists this transfer RNA (73 nucleotides) under Perkinsus chesapeaki. It matches the Rfam family "tRNA". From Rfam's summary of the family: Transfer RNA (tRNA) molecules are approximately 80 nucleotides in length. The record is from Rfam by way of RNAcentral. Lineage: Eukaryota; Perkinsozoa; Perkinsida; Perkinsidae.